UCAGUCUUGCGACCGUACUCCCCAGGCGGCAAGCUUAACGGCUUCCCUGCGACACUCCGAUCGCGAUUUGCGACCGGAUCAUCUAGCUUGCAUCGUUUACGGCUGGGACUACCCGGGUAUCUAAUCCGGUUCGCUCCCCCAGCUUUCAUCCCUCACCGUCGAGCGCGUUCUGGUGGGCCGCCUUCGCCACUGGUGGUCUUCCACGGAUCAAAGGAUUUUACCCCUACACGUGGAGUACCGCCCACCUCUCCCGCCUCCUAGUCCUGCGGUAUCCCCUGCAGGCCAACGGUUAAGCCGUUGGAUUUAACAGGCGACCUACAGAACAGGCUACGGAUGCU
This 338-nucleotide ribosomal RNA is filed under the name uncultured archaeon. RNAcentral's name for it is "partial 16S ribosomal RNA". The record is from RNAcentral.